This 394-nucleotide ribosomal RNA is filed under the name uncultured bacterium. RNAcentral's name for it is "bacterial SSU rRNA". It matches the Rfam family "Bacterial small subunit ribosomal RNA", at positions 28 to 418 of the family's 1533-position model. The record is from RNAcentral.
AACGAACGUUGGCGGCGUGGAUCAGGCAUGCAAGUCGAACGAAUCCCACCUGGGUAACUGGGUGGGGGAAGUGGCGAAAGGGGCAGUAAGGCAUGGGUAACCUGCCCCGGACUCCGGGAUAGCCUUCCUAACGGAAGGGUAAUACCGGGUGCCGUAGGCCGGUGGCAUCACCGGGCUACGAAAGCUCAGGCGGUCCGGGAGGGGCUCAUGUGGUAUUAUGCUAGUUGGUGGGGUGACGGCCCACCAAGGCGAAGANGCCUAGCGGGUGUGAGAGCACGACCCGCGCCACUGGCACUGGGACACUGGCCAGACUCCUACGGGAGGCUGCAGUCGAGGAUCUUCGGCAAUGGGCGCAAGCCUGACCGAGCGACGCCGCGUGUGCGAUGAAGGCCUU